AUUGAACGCUGGCGGCAGGCCUAACACAUGCAAGUCGAACGAGUGGCGGACGGGUGAGUAAUGUCUGGGAAACUGCCUGAUGGAGGGGGAUAACUACUGGCAACGGUAGCUAAUACCGCAUACCAUCAGAUGUGCCCAGAUGGGAUUAGCUAGUUGGUGGUGGAACGGCUCACCAAGGCGACGCUCCCUAGCUGGGCGGAGGGGAUGACCAGCCACACUGGAACUGAGACACGGUCCAGCCUCCUACGGGAGGCAGCGGUGGGGAAUAUUGCACACUGGGCGCAAGCCUGAUGCCGCCCUGCCGCGUGUAUGAAGAAGGCCUUCGGGUUGUAAAGUACUUUCAGCGGGGAGGCGUUACCCGCAGAGGAAGCAACGGCUAACUCCGUGCCAGCAGCCGCGGUAAUUC
RNAcentral lists this ribosomal RNA (406 nucleotides) under uncultured bacterium. Its description in RNAcentral is "partial 16S ribosomal RNA". It matches the Rfam family "Bacterial small subunit ribosomal RNA", at positions 30 to 526 of the family's 1533-position model. The record is from RNAcentral.